Molecule: long non-coding RNA, 1175 nt
Organism: Paramisgurnus dabryanus
Lineage: Eukaryota; Metazoa; Chordata; Actinopteri; Cypriniformes; Cobitidae
Source: RefSeq, a predicted model, not a curated record
CAACAACCGCCUCCGGGCCACCACAUCGGUUCCCACCACUUACAAUUACACACCGGGGCCAGCCACACCCACCACCUCCACUGGGACAUCAUACCGCUUGGGCUCUAGCACCAGCGUUACCACACCUUUACCAGCAACAGACUUUGCUCCAGUGACCUGUCUGUCAAAUGACUACCAAGGAAGACAUCAGAUUUCCAAAGAGGAGCUUGAACAUGUUCUUUCACUGAAAACCAUCUUUACAGAAGCGGCAUCUAUUCUUUCAAUCUCAAGGCCAACUUUCUACAAGUUACUGCAAGAAUAAUAUCCCAGCAUCAACAUUUAAGAGCAUCAGUGAUCAAAAGUUGGAUCUUGAAGUGUCACACAUAAAAACUGAACACCCAAAUGUUGGAGAAGUGAUGCUUAUGGGGCAUCUCCGCUCCAAAAACAUUGUGGUUCAAAGACAACGUGUAAGAGAUUCACUGCGAAGGAUGGACCCAAUUGGUGUCCUAGCCAGGAGCAGAACAGCAAUAGCUCAGCGAGUAUACUCUGUCCCCCAUCCAAAUUUCAUAUGGCAUGUAGAUGGAAAUCAUUAGUUGAUUAGGUGGAAAUUAGUUGUUCAUGGUGCCAUAGACGGCUACAGUAGGAUGUUGAUGUUUCUUCACUGCUCCAACAAUAAUCGUGCUGAAACUGUUAAAGACCUCUUUAGUGCAGCUGUUGGACAGUUUGGCAGACCACUGCACAUCAGGACUGAUCACGGAGGAGAGAACGUUCAGAUUUGGGAGGACAUGUAUGCGAGCAGGGGUGAAGGCUCUGUCUAAACAGGAAGUUCUGAACACAACCAGAGGAUAGAGCGUUUUAAUCGAGACUUGAACAAAAACUGCAGCCAUGUUUAUGCACCCAUUUUUAUGAACUGGAAUCCCUGGGUAUCCUAGACAUUGACAAUGCAACAGACCUAUUUUGUCUCCAUUAUGUCUUUCUACCCAGAAUCAACCGCACUUUGGAGGAAUUCAAAGCUGGAUUUAACAAUCACUCUAUAUCAUCUGAAGGAAAUAGAACACCAGUUCAGCUUUUUACUCUGGACAAUGAUUUGCCUCAUUUUCACAACCCAGAACUCUCAACAGCAGGGGUAGUUUUUUGUUCCUCACCAAACUAUCAAAGAGGAUUUUCCCAAUUGAAUGAUAGGGAUUUGCAAGAAC